Molecule: ribosomal RNA, 413 nt
Filed under: uncultured bacterium
Lineage: Bacteria
Description: bacterial SSU rRNA
Rfam family: Bacterial small subunit ribosomal RNA
Source: RNAcentral
AACGAACGCUGGCGGCGCGCCUAAUACAUGCAAGUCGAGCGAGAAGACGUAGCAAUACGUUUGUAAAGCGGCGAACGGGUGAGGAAUACAUGGGUAACCUACCCUCGAGUGGGGAAUAACUAGCCGAAAGGUUAGCUAAUACCGCGUACGCUCCUUGGACUUCGGUUCAGGGAGGAAAGCGAUACCGUGGGUAUCGCGCUCUUGGAUGGGCUCAUGUCCUAUCAGCUUGUUGGGAGGUAACGGCUCACCAAGGCUUCGACGGGUAGCUGGUCUGAGAGGACGAUCAGCCACACUGGCACUGCGACACGGGCCAGACUCCUACGGGAGGCAGCAGUAAGGAAUAUUGCGCAAUGGGCGAAAGCCUGACGCAGCGACGCCGCGUGGGGGAUGAAGGUCUUCGGAUUGUAAACCCC